Molecule: ribosomal RNA, 640 nt
Filed under: uncultured bacterium
Lineage: Bacteria
Description: bacterial SSU rRNA
Rfam family: Bacterial small subunit ribosomal RNA
Source: RNAcentral
GCGGCCUAUCAGCUUGUUGGUGGGGUAAUGGCCUACCAAGGCGGUGACGGGUAGCCGGCCUGAGAGGGCGACCGGCCACACUGGGACUGAGACACGGCCCAGACUCCUACGGGAGGCAGCAGUGGGGAAUAUUGCGCAAUGGGCGAAAGCCUGACGCAGCGACGCCGCGUGAGGGAUGAAGGCCUUCGGGUUGUAAACCUCUUUCAGCAGGGACGAAGCUAACGUGACGGUACCUGCAGAAGAAGCACCGGCCAACUACGUGCCAGCAGCCGCGGUAAUACGUAGGGUGCAAGCGUUGUCCGGAAUUAUUGGGCGUAAAGAGCUCGUAGGCGGCUAGUUACGUCGACUGUGAAAACCCAUGGCUUAACCGUGGGCUUGCAGUCGAUACGGGCUGGCUAGAGUUCGGUAGGGGAGACUGGAAUUCCUGGUGUAGCGGUGAAAUGCGCAGAUAUCAGGAGGAACACCGGUGGCGAAGGCGGGUCUCUGGGCCGAUACUGACGCUGAGGAGCGAAAGCGUGGGGAGCGAACAGGAUUAGAUACCCUGGUAGUCCACGCUGUAAACGUUGGGCGCUAGGUGUGGGGGUCUUUCCACGAUCUCCGUGCCGCAGCUAACGCAUUAAGCGCCCCGCCUGGGAGUACG